AAUAAGUGUAUUUUUGCACCCUUUAUGUCUCACAUUUGAUCAUCUGUUUUAUUUUCAAAAAUAUAGAUGAUAAAACAUAAAUAAUUCUUUAUGUGUGACUAUUUUUUAAAUUUUUUUAUAGUUUUUUCAUAUAAGACGAAUGGUUAAAUGUUAGACACAGAAAUCCAUAAAUGUAAUUAUA
Molecule: microRNA precursor, 181 nt
Filed under: Oryza brachyantha (malo sina)
Lineage: Eukaryota; Viridiplantae; Streptophyta; Magnoliopsida; Poales; Poaceae
Description: MIR812 microRNA precursor family
Rfam family: MIR812 microRNA precursor family
Source: Rfam by way of RNAcentral